ACUGCUCAGUAACACGUGGAUAACCUGCCCUUGGGACCGGCAUAACCCCGGGAAACUGGGGAUAAUUCCGGAUAACGCAUAUUUGCUGGAAUGCUUUAUGCGUCAAAAGGAUUCGUCUGCCCAAGGAUGGGUCUGCGGCCUAUCAGGUAGUAGUGGGUGUAAUGUACCUACUAGCCAGCGACGGGUACGGGUUGUGAGAGCAAGAGCCCGGAGAUGGAUUCUGAGACAUGAAUCCAGGCCCUACGGGGCGCAGCAGGCGCGAAAACUUUACAAUGCGGGAAACCGUGAUAAGGGGACACCGAGUGCCAGCAUCAUAUGCUGGCUGUCCGGAUGUGUAAAAUACAUCCGUUAGCAAGGGCCGGGCAAGACCGGUGCCAGCCGCCGCGGUAACACCGGCGGCCCGAGUGGUGAUCGUGAUUAUUGGGUCUAAAGGGUCCGUAGCCGGUUUGGUCAGUCCUCCGGGAAAUCUGAUAGCUCAACUAUUAGGCUUUCGGGGGAUACUGCCAGACUUGGAACCGGGAGAGGUAAGAGGUACUACAGGGGUAGGAGUGAAAUCUUGUAAUCCCUGUGGGACCACCUGUGGCGAAGGCGUCUUACCAGAACGGGUUCGACGGUGAGGGACGAAAGCUGGGGGCACGAACCGGAUUAGAUACCCGGGUAGUCCCAGCCGUAAACGAUGCUCGCUAGGUGUCAGGCAUGGCGCGACCGUGUCUGGUGCCGCAGGGAAGCCGUGAAGCGAGCCACCUGGGAAGUACGGCCGCAAGGCUGAAACUUAAAGGAAUUGGCGGGGGAGCAC
RNAcentral lists this ribosomal RNA (796 nucleotides) under uncultured archaeon. RNAcentral describes it as "bacterial SSU rRNA". It matches the Rfam family "Archaeal small subunit ribosomal RNA", at positions 85 to 879 of the family's 1478-position model. RNAcentral also lists the same sequence under 1 other name. The record is from RNAcentral.